Molecule: ribosomal RNA, 305 nt
Filed under: uncultured bacterium
Lineage: Bacteria
Description: bacterial SSU rRNA
Rfam family: Bacterial small subunit ribosomal RNA
Source: RNAcentral
AGACAAUAGAUACCCGGGUAGUCCACGCCGUAAACGAUGGAUGCUAGCCGUUGGACAGCUUGCUGUUCAGUGGCGCAGCUAACGCAUUAAGCAUCCUGCCUGGGGAGUACGGUCGCAAGAUUAAAACUCAAAGGAAUUGACGGGGCCCGCACAAGCGGUGGAGCAUGUGGUUCAAUUCGAAGCAACGCGCAGAACCUUACCAACCUUUGACAUGUCUCGUAUGGGCACCAGAGAUGGAGUCCUUCAGUUCGGCUGGCGAGACACAGGUGCUGCAUGGCUGUCGUCAGCUCGUGUCGUGAGAUGUU